CCUACGGGAGGCUGCAGUGGGGAAUUUUGGACAAUGGGGGCAACCCUGAUCCAGCCAUGCCGCGUGCGGGAAGAAGGCCUUCGGGUUGUAAACCGCUUUUAGCCGGGAAGAAAAGGCGCGGGAUAACACCCUUCGUUCUUGACGGUACCGGCGGAAUAAGCACCGGCUAACUACGUGCCAGCAGCCGCGGUAAUACGUAGGGUGCUUGCGUUAAGCGGAAUUACUGGGCGCGAAGCGUGCGCAGGCGUGUGAAAGCCCCGGGCUCAACCUGGGAAUGGCAUUGGAUACUGGCGGGCUGGCGUGUGGCAGAGGGGGGUGGAAUUCCGCGUGUAGCAGUGAAAUGCGUAGAGAUGCGGAGGAACACCGAUGGCGAAGGCAGCCCCCUGGGCUGACACUGACGCUCAGGCACGAAAGCGUGGGGAGCAAACAGGAUUAGAUACCCGUGUAGUC
RNAcentral lists this ribosomal RNA (450 nucleotides) under uncultured bacterium. RNAcentral's name for it is "partial 16S ribosomal RNA". It matches the Rfam family "Bacterial small subunit ribosomal RNA", at positions 338 to 795 of the family's 1533-position model. The record is from RNAcentral.